Non-coding RNA from Plectropomus leopardus (leopard coralgrouper), 242 nucleotides. NCBI's taxonomy places the organism in Eukaryota, Metazoa, Chordata, Actinopteri, Perciformes, Serranidae. The record is from RefSeq and is a predicted model, not a curated record.
UCGUCGGAAGAGUACGAAGCGAAGGAAAGAAGUGCGGAAACUUUAUUGCAAAUCUUCAGCUUGCUGAUAUGGUCGUCUCUCUGGCUCAGGUCACCCGUCAGAGUUCGCACCUUAAAGUCCAGACCCUGAACACACCAUUGAACAGAAUUCAACUCUUGUGUGCAUUAAUCCAGCUGUUUCCAGUCUUGGCUAGUGUGGACUCUAGAGACUCCAGAUCUCUCUUCAGCUCAUUCAGUUCCCCU